Molecule: unclassified non-coding RNA, 378 nt
Filed under: plant metagenome
Description: partial contains 5.8S ribosomal RNA, internal transcribed spacer 2, and large subunit ribosomal RNA
Rfam family: 5.8S ribosomal RNA (bases 1-105)
Source: RNAcentral
GAAAUGCGAUAAGUAAUGUGAAUUGCAGAAUUCAGUGAAUCAUCGAAUCUUUGAACGCACCUUGCGCUCCUUGGUAUUCCUUGGAGCAUGCCUGUUUGAGUAUCAUGAAAUCUUCAAAGUAAAUCUUUUGUUAACUCAAUUGGUUUCUACUUUGGUAUUGGAGGUCUUUGCAGCUUCACACCUGCUCCUCUUUGUUCAUUAGCUGGAUCUCAGUGUUAUGCUUGGUUCCACUCGGCGUGAUAAGUUAUCUAUCGCUGAGGACACUGUAAAAGGUGGCCAAGGUAAAUGCAGAUGAUCCGCUUCUAAUAGUCCAUUGACUUGGACAAUACUUUUAUGAUCUGAUCUCAAAUCAGGUAGUACUACCCGCUGAACUUAAGC